UUCGGGUGGCUGGCGAGUGGCGAACGGGUGAGUAACACGUGGAAACCUGCCCUGGGGUACGGGACAACAGUUAGAAAUGACUGCUAAUACCGUAUACGUCCUACGGGAGAAAGAUUUAUUGCCCUUGGAGGGGUCCGCGUUGGAUUAGCUAGUUGGUGAGGUAACUGCUCACCAAGGCUACGAUCCAUAGCUGGCCUUAGAGGACGAUCAGCCACACUGGGACUGAGACACGGCCCAGACUCCUACGGGAGGCAGCAGUGGGGAAUAUUGCGCAAUGGGGGCAACCCUGACGCAGCGAUGCCGCGUGAGUGAAGAAGGCCUUCGGGUUGUAAAGCUCUUUCAGUGGGGAAGAUAGUGACGGUACCCACAGAAGAAGCUCCGGCUAACUCCGUGCCAGCAGCCGCGGUAAUACGGAGGGGGCGAGCGUUGUUCGGAAUUAUUGGGCGUAAAGAGCACGUAGGCGGUUUGGCAAG
Molecule: ribosomal RNA, 473 nt
Filed under: uncultured Magnetococcus sp.
Lineage: Bacteria; Pseudomonadati; Pseudomonadota; Magnetococcia; Magnetococcales; Magnetococcaceae
Description: bacterial SSU rRNA
Rfam family: Bacterial small subunit ribosomal RNA
Source: RNAcentral